AGGAUGAACGCUAGCGGCAGGCUUAAUACAUGCAAGUCGAACGGUAACAGGCGGUAGCAAUACUGCGCUGACGAGUGGCGCACGGGUGCGUAACACGUAUGCAACCUACCCUUAACUGGGGAAUAACCCUGUGAAAGCGGGGCUAAUACCCCAUAAUAUUAUGGUAAGGCAUCUUACUAUUAUCAAAGAUUUAUCGGUUAGGGAUGGGCAUGCGCCCCAUUAGUUAGUUGGUUAGGUAACGGCUAACCAAGACUGUGAUGGGUAGGGGUUCUGAGAGGAUUAUCCCCCACACUGGUACUGAGACACGGACCAGACUCCUACGGGAGGCAGCAGUAAGGAAUAUUGGGCAAUGGACGCAAGUCUGACCCAGCCAUGCCGCGUGCAGGAAGACGGCCUUAUGGGUUGUAAACUGCUUUUGUAUGGGAUUAAAGUGUUGUACGUGUACGACAUUGCAAGUACCAUACGAAUAAGCAUCGGCUAACUCCGUGCCAGCAGCCGCGGUAAUACGGAGGAUGCAAGCGUUAUCCGGAAUCAUUGGGUUUACAGGGUGCGUAGGUUGAUUAUUAAGUCAGUGGUGAAAAUUCCGGGCUCAACCCGGGACUUGCCGUUGAAACUGAUAAUCUUGAGUGUAACUGAUGUGGGCGGAAUGUGUCAAGUAGCGGUGAAAUGCAUAGAUAUGACACAGAACACCGAUAGCGAAGGCAGCUCACAAAAUUACAACUGACACUGAGGCACGAAAGCGUGGGUAUCAAACAGGAUUAGAUACCCUGGUAGUCCACGCUGUAAACGAUGAUCACUAGCUGUUUGCGAUACCUUGUACGUGGUUAAGCGAAAGCGAUAAGUGAUCCACCUGGGGAGUACGUCGGCCACGAUGAAA
RNAcentral lists this ribosomal RNA (877 nucleotides) under uncultured organism. RNAcentral describes it as "bacterial SSU rRNA". It matches the Rfam family "Bacterial small subunit ribosomal RNA", at positions 26 to 899 of the family's 1533-position model. The record is from RNAcentral.